Molecule: long non-coding RNA, 268 nt
Filed under: Medicago truncatula (barrel medic)
Lineage: Eukaryota; Viridiplantae; Streptophyta; Magnoliopsida; Fabales; Fabaceae
Description: long non-coding RNA (MTRU_LNC001026)
Source: RNAcentral
UUUUUUAAAAGAGAUAUUAAUAAGUUGUUUUGCAUAAGAUAAGUUGUUUUGAAGAAAUAAACUAUUCUAGAUUUUAAUUUUAAUUUGUUAUUUUUUUUAAUAAAAGUGGUUUUAUUCAUUGGAUAAUAAAUAUUUAUUUUGGUUCGGUUUGGUUCGGUUAAUAGGUAAGCAAAUGGUUAACCGAACCAUAACUUAGGUUCAGUUUGGUUACUUCCAAACUUUAAACGGUUCGGUUCAGUUUUCCCGAACCAUUUUAUCAAUUUGGUUC